RNAcentral lists this ribosomal RNA (329 nucleotides) under uncultured eukaryote. Its description in RNAcentral is "partial 18S ribosomal RNA". It matches the Rfam family "Eukaryotic small subunit ribosomal RNA", at positions 1470 to 1796 of the family's 1831-position model. The record is from RNAcentral.
CCCUUAGAUGUCCUGGGCCGCACGCGCGCUACACUGAGUGUCUGAGAUACGAGUCUGCCUGGUCCGGCAAGGUCUAGGUAAUCGCUAAAAGACACAUCAUGCUUGGGAUAGAUUAUUGCAAAUAUUAAUCUUGAACGAGGAAUUCCUAGUAAGCGCAAGUCAACAGCUUGCGUUAAUUACGUCCCUGCCCUUUGUACACACCGCCCGUCGCUACUACUGAUUGGAUGUUUAAGCGAGGUUCUCGAACUGCUAGCGACUUAGCUUCGGUGAGGUCGCAGUGUGGGAAGUGAACCUAGCUUUGGUGUCUAGAGGAAGUAAAAGUCGUAACA